RNAcentral lists this small RNA (221 nucleotides) under Rickettsia prowazekii. Its description in RNAcentral is "partial sR13 non-coding RNA". The record is from RNAcentral. Lineage: Bacteria; Pseudomonadati; Pseudomonadota; Alphaproteobacteria; Rickettsiales; Rickettsiaceae.
UAAUAUCGGAUUUGUGGUGAUUUAUGAUAUCUAUCAUUAAGGUUAGUAUUAUUUUACAAUUAUAGAUGCUAUUUGAACAAUAAAGAGAUUAUUUAUAUCUUUUUAGCAGUGUUAUAGUACAGGUUAUAUUUUAUCGUACAAUAUUUAUGUAAAUUGUUUUAUACUAUAUUUUUAAAUAUUUUUUUUGGCGAUAUUAUCAAUAUUUUGCUGUUCUUAAUAAA